AUAUAUGUAGCUAUCAGGGUAUGUGUGCAUGUGUGUGUACAUAUAUAUGUAGCUUUUAAUUAGACAUUCAACCAAAAGAGCAGGUUCUCUGCUCAAAAGCUUGCUCAUUGUUAAUUACUACACUGAUUGGCUUAAUAAGAGAUUGCCUUUCUUCUCUCACGUCAAUGAAUCAGGCAUUAGCUAGGAGGACCAGAAUGUCACUAAAUACUUUCCAGAAUUGUGCUACGUGAUGAAUGGUAUACAUUUAUUAUCAGAAAUAAGGUCUAUCAAAAUAAUAAGAAGCAAUUACUUAUUUCAGCAUGUAUUUGGAAUUGUAUGAAAUAUGUACUUGUUCUUAUAGGAAGAGUGCUGUGCUUAGAAAUGCUAAUUAUUUAGUGACAGGCAUAUCUUGCACUUUGGGCUAAGAUUCGGUGUCAGCUGAUAUCGAUAUAAAUUAACAAUCUAAUCUAUUAAUCAUAAAUAAAAUUAGCAGCUCAUUGGCCGCACAUUGCUAUAUAGGGUUAAAUUUAGUUUGCUCUUUCAGCCAUUCAGCACUACUAAAGUGUAAUGAAAAAGGGAAAGCUGAUAGCCAAUGUUGUAGCCCCUACUGUGAGUAGCACCGAACACGCAGGCAGGCGUGUCGCAAGGGGCAGGCUGUUAUUGUUGCGUUAUUUUUACAUUAUUUUUGUGUUACGGUGUGCUGUGUUUCAGGAAGCCCUUUGAAUGGCCUCAAGCUGCGUUAGCCCAGAGCGAGAGAGGACAGCCCAGUAAGUGCGAACUCAUGGGAACUCUUGACAGUACCAGCAACUACCACUGCACAGCACAGAAUUUAAUCUUUAUUUUGUAGAGAGAAUCUAAUCAAGAAGCAUUUUUCAGUGUAAUGCUGUCAUCCAUGCUUGGUAGAUUGCAAGAAAAGCACGGCCGCCAGUAGUCCCUCCAUACAGCUGGGUACCACAUGUGCUCUCUUCAGUUAGAUUGGGUAAGAGUCCCCACAUCUCCUAAAAUUCAGAGUGAAUGUGUGCAGCAUCUACAGAGAGGAUAUUGGUCCUGAAAAAUCGCCGUCUUCCUAAGCCAAUGCGUUAGAGCCAGUUGUUGGGGUAGAGUUGGGUCUUGGAGAACCGGCGUUAACGUGCAGUUCAUGCAAGAUGGCCAUCAUGGUUUCUGAACCUCUUUCUUCUGGAAGCAGCGUGUUUGCCAUGCACGGUGCGUGAAUCACAGCAAACCUUUCGCUCAGCCUUUCUCUGCUAGGAAGGCAGCUUCAAGGCAUUGGUCACUGGGACCGAAGCGUGCCGGGAAGGAUGCUCGUGCUGGGAGGAAGGGCAACAGCACGCUUACUAGAAACGCAGUUGAAGGAUCUCCCGACACCAGAAGGGAUACCUGCUGUAGGGUUGCAGCAGCCUGGCCAAACUUCUCCUCUUUCCAUACAGAAAAAGAAAAAUCAGCUGAUGGUACAGAGGUGCCUUUCACUUCAGCUUCCUCGCAGCGUGGUGCCUGGGGAGUUUUCCGUUCAGUGUAGAAGGAGACAGCACAAGAACACACGCCAGAAGCACUCCUAAGCCCAGGAGGGCCUUGCAGAGGGGGAGCCUGCAGCUCCCUGGUUCCUGCAAUCAGAGGUACCGAGCACGGGAACAGCAGCUCCUCUUCUCCCAGCCCCAGGUUGUGGCCACGGUAAAAACCCAUUGCUCAGUCACCCAGAACGGACAGAGCCUGAAGUGUGUUAUUUAAGCUUUAAUGUGAGGGAAGGUCAGACUUCUUCUCGGGACAAGGGUUACUCCGUGAGGAGUUUGUUUCUAUUAAGAUGGAGUAAUCGACAAUAUUCUGCAAACGCCUACAAUAUUUCAGACCAGCUGAGCAGUUUGCCCUGUACAUCCCACUGGAAAGCAGAAUGGAAGCCCGAUUCCCAAAGCGCUUCCAGCUCAGCGAUGCCCAACCCUUGAAAGAACCGCGGUUCUUCAAAGCAACGCGAAAUCAUCCUGCUGUGGGUGGUGCUGGCUGUUUCCACUAAAUGCAAGUUUCUUUCAUCUAGAAAGAAGUUUGCACAGGUGCUGCACAUGGAGUAAGGAUGGUGUCCGCUCACAGGGAGGUGCCUGGCUGCACAGAGGCUGACAGCGUCUGUUCAGAUUCACUGCUGACCCUCUGCCAAACACGGUCUCCGGUUCCAUAUACAGCCUGAAGCGAAAGGUCCAGCUGCCUCUUGCCCCAGAGCUCCUGGGAAGGAUGUCUUGCUGCUUCUCCUUCGUGCUGAACGUGCAGUGCUGCUUUGGUGAUUCGGCUCAGCUCCUGCAGGCGCCACGGAAGGAGCCACCUUUUAGAAAGGUGUCGGUGACUGGGUGAAACAAACUACUGCAGCUCAGCCCCUACCCACCGAAAUGCUGCAGCACGCACUGAAGGAGUCCCAGUGGUGACGCUGUCUGUGCUGUACUGGGGACACGUGGGACAACUUGAUAAAAGCAGGUGUGGUUUUGAUUUCUUCAGAAGUAAAGAAGCACAAAAGGAGACGUUCUGUUCUUUGAAAAUAACCGGAGCCACUGGCAAGAAGCAGCAACACCGUGCACCCAACACAGAAACCAUUUCCAGGUUAUCAAAACAUGCUGUUGAACUGAAUUUUGCAGCUGCAUUUUCAAAUGUACCAU
This is an RNA transcript of Falco peregrinus (peregrine falcon), 2612 nucleotides long. It is a transcript of the gene named chromosome 8 C2orf88 homolog, with no coding region annotated. NCBI's taxonomy places the organism in Eukaryota, Metazoa, Chordata, Aves, Falconiformes, Falconidae. The transcript has 7 exons. The record is from RefSeq and is a predicted model, not a curated record.